This is a non-coding RNA of Anas platyrhynchos (mallard), 694 nucleotides long. The record is from RefSeq and is a predicted model, not a curated record. NCBI's taxonomy places the organism in Eukaryota, Metazoa, Chordata, Aves, Anseriformes, Anatidae.
GGCAGGGGGAGGGCUGCUCCCAGCCGUAGGGAAGGGCACCUGGGGGCUCUUCGAGGAGGGGCUAAUAAAUACAGUCAGCACGGUGACCUCUCUUGGCUGUUUGCUCUCCAGCAUGAAGUUUUAGUACCAAAGCAAGGCAACCUGAGGCAAAACCUAGGGUUUGAAAGCAACGAGUAGGAGAGUUGGGGCUCUGCAUACCAGAAGAGGAGUUUCACUGCAUGUGCCCCAGGACAAAGGGUGAUCCCCGUGGCUGCCAGAGCAGCACCUUCCUCAAACAUCCUCCUCCCAUCUGCUGAAAUGAAUGCCUGACCCCGGGGAUGUCUCUGAGAAGCAAAGCUGGAUGGUGCGGUAACAGAAGAGAGCAUGGAAACCCAUGUGUAACACCAGAAAAUGAUGACGUGCCACGAUGACACCGGUGUCUUCUGCGGGUCUCUGUGCACUCUAGGAAUCUGCGUUCUCCAGGCUUAAAAUGAAACCUGUAGUUCUGAAAGGAAUUGCAGAUUCAGACUGAUACCCUGGUGUGGUGCUGCCAAAGCGAGCCAGAUGCAGGGCCCUUUUUGUUGGAUAAAUAUGUCUGGAAGCGACUGAGCGCGGGCGGGAUGAGAGAACUUCUGCUUAGCAAAAUAUUUGAAUUAGAGAGGCAGUUCAGUAAUUGCAUUUUUAACUAUAUUAAAGCCUGUUCCUUGAAACCUGA